RNAcentral lists this ribosomal RNA (585 nucleotides) under uncultured bacterium. Its description in RNAcentral is "bacterial SSU rRNA". It matches the Rfam family "Bacterial small subunit ribosomal RNA", at positions 102 to 667 of the family's 1533-position model. The record is from RNAcentral.
ACGGGUGAGUAACACGUAGGUAAUCUACCUUCGGAUGGGGAAUAACAAUCGGAAACGGUUGCUAAUACCGCAUAAUGCAGCGGCACCUAAUGGUGACAGUUGUUAAAGCGGGGGAUCGAAAGACCUCGCGUCUGAAGAGGAGCCUGCGGCGGAUUAGCUAGUUGGUAGGGUAACGGCCUACCAAGGCGACGAUCCGUAGCCGGCCUGAGAGGGCGGUCGGCCACACUGACACUGACAUACGGGUCAGACUCCUACGGGAGGCAGCAGUCGGGAAUUUUGGGCAAUGGGCGAAAGCCUGACCCAGCAACGCCGCGUGAAGGAUGAAAUCCCUCGGGAUGUAAACUUCGCAAGAACGGGAAGAAUAAGCGAGAGCCAACACCUCUCGUGACGACGGUACCGUUUGUAAGCUCCGGCUAACUCCGUGCCAGCAGCCGCGGUAAUACGGGGGGAGCAAGCGUUGUUCGGAUUUACUGGGCGUAAAGGGCGCGUAGGCGGCCACUGCAAGUCAAUUGUGAAAUCUCCGGGCUUAACUCGGAAAGGUCAACUGAUACUGCAGGGCUAGAGUGCGGAAGGGGCAACUGGAAU